Long non-coding RNA from Cryptomeria japonica (Japanese cedar), 2556 nucleotides. RefSeq lists it as uncharacterized. NCBI's taxonomy places the organism in Eukaryota, Viridiplantae, Streptophyta, Pinopsida, Cupressales, Cupressaceae. The record is from RefSeq and is a predicted model, not a curated record. The transcript is spliced from 3 exons.
UGGUUGGUUUACUCUGAAUUUACAAAGAGGAGUGGAGUGGAGCCGAACCUGCCUCAACGGCACUGAACUACAGCCAUGGGAUGAUGGGAGCGUGCCUCAACGACGAGAGCAAUAGUGAGGAGAGCUAUACAUCCUAGCAAGUGGCUGAUUGGAGUUGCACUGCUGCAGCGAAGAAAAUACUGUCAUGUAGGAUUAUAUUUGCAGUCGCAUUUCUUUAUGUGUUUCCUCUAAUAUGCAAGGAGGUAUCAGCAGCACCAUAUGGAAUUGAAAGAGGGGCUCAACAAUAUUUGGGGUCUCGGAUAACUCUCUGGCUUGACAGGCACUCAGUAUGCAGGUUGGAAACUGUGUCAUCAAAGAAGAAAUGCAGAUGCUGCAGUCUCAUUUUCAAAUUUUAUUUGGCUGGUUUUUCCUUUUUCCUGAUUGGAAGCUCAUAUUUUUUCCUAUGAUUUUUUAUUUUUCUAUUUGAAAAUAAAUGAAAACUAUCUGGCCCAAUCCCUUGAAAUUUUAGACAGUACACAAUGCUGGAUAGGAACUAUCAUGGUAAGCCUUUUGACUUUCUCCCACUAGAUCUAAGAUUCUAAAGCAUAUAAGAAGUAAUUUUCUAAUUUUUGUCAACUUUCCAAUUGGAAACCAAAGUCCAAUCCACCCCUACUAGAGGAUACAAAUCUUGUCAGUCAAGCAAUGUAAGAUUCUAUUGUUGCUGCAAAGAAACACUGGAGGCUGACUUGCAGUCACCACAGCAUGAGCUGAAGGGGAUAGAGAAAAUUCACCCAGCAAAGGAGCCAUCUCAUUAAAUUCUUAGAAGACAAUGAAAGAAUUUAAGGAGUCUUCACAGCAUGAACUAAAAGGGAUGUGGGAUCAUCUUCAUCCAUCAAUGGAGCCUUCUCAUUUAACAUCUCAGAAGACAAAGAAGGAUUUUGAUGAGCCGCAAAAGAGGGCUCUGUAAUAGCAUCAGCUACCUGAGAGGGUUUUGAAUACAUGUAGAUUCCUACAAAGAACCUAGGACAAUAAAAUGGUGGGGAAGAACAUCUCUCUACCAAGAUGCUUGGGUAGCAGAUUUCCGUGAGGCUAGAACAGUCUACAGCGACAUGGCCCAUUUGAUAGCACCCACAAGUGCAACAAGAUAAAGCAAGACCUUCAUAAUCCAAGAGCUGAGCACAAUAUAUGCUUUUAGGUCUUUCAAAAUGUCUAGCUCAACAGCUGUUCUUUUUGGACUUUUAGUACCAUAUUCGGCACUAGUGUCUUGUCUGUAAUCUUUUGCUUGUAUUGCUGAUCUAGUUGUAUCAGCCGGACUUGGUGCAUAGCACCAUAUAUCGUACCUGCUCUGUUGGUUUUCUUGGUAAUCGAUCUCUAAUUAAAAAAAGAAAUCUAGAUCAACCUGAAUACAGGUAAAGGUAGUAUGGGAGAAGUAGAAGUUGCUCUAUCUAUUGAUAGGAAUCUUCCUAGGGAGUUUUCAAUCGGUGCCAAGCAAGAAUCAAUCCAAUUUACUGAGCAUCAACUGAGAAACAUACACAACUAAAUCGAGACUAUCUUAUACGAAGACGAUGGACAACCCUGUUUCAUUAUAUGUUGAGUAAACUCUACCAUAAACCUAUCUUGUUCCGUUUAGAAUUCAUUUUUGUUUACUAAUGUGGAGAUGCAUAAUAUUUGUCAUAUCAAAGGCUUUUAAGAUGUUACAGAAGGGCAUUAAUAACACUGCGUAAAAACUGAUUACUGCAGCUUGAGAAAGUAUUAGGGAAAAUUUGAGAGUUCUAUGUAACUAAUUUAUACUAAUUUAAGCGGUAAUCUGAAAUACCAUGAAUGCAGUAAGUGUCAAUGGUAAAUUUACUACAAAGUUAAUGGAAUUAAAUAAAACGCAGUAUUCAAAGGUUCCAUCAAUAAUAAUACUGUUCAAGAUGUGAAAUUCUUACAAUUAUUCUAAUUUAUGAGGCUGAUUGGGCGGAGUAUAAUUACAUUUGACUCAGUAGAAACAAUACAGACAUAGGUGGAAGCAAUCAUCAGUGGAAGUAGAUCUAUUGGGUUCAAGUUUGUCCAAAUUCAUAUCCAUAUUUCUUCUUUGAUUCCAUGGUUUCCAACAUGCAUACUAAUUGCAAAAAUUGGAUUGAAAAGAGCUAUGCUUCUGUGGAUGUUGGAACUUCCUGAGCGUGAUGCUGUUUUAGCACACAAAGGCAUUAAAAAGUGGAGUUCAAAAGACUGUUCUGGUAGAAAUUUUCUGCUCUCGAUCUCCAAGUGAACUGUUGCUGGCGAGAAAAGCAUAUUAUCUGAAGUAUAAAAAAUCUUUGGAAGAGGACAUUGCUUCACAUACAAGUGGGGAUUUCGAGAAGGUAUCCUAGUACCAUGUUGCCAUUAAUUCUUCAUGUCAAACCUAACUUCCAUUAAUGAAAUUGAACAUGAAGAGUUUCUAAGGCUUAAGAAAGAUAUAACUCUUAUGGUAAUGUUAUUUGGCAGAAAUGAGUUGGAUUUUGUAUAUGUUUGUAAACAUUAUGGAUUGUGGAGGCUUGAAUUCUUUACUUUUGUAUAUGUUUGUCAAUAUAAUAUUUUAAUGAUAUCAGUUUU